RNAcentral lists this ribosomal RNA (468 nucleotides) under uncultured bacterium. RNAcentral describes it as "partial 16S ribosomal RNA". It matches the Rfam family "Bacterial small subunit ribosomal RNA", at positions 28 to 507 of the family's 1533-position model. The record is from RNAcentral.
GACGAACGCUGGCGGCGUGCUUAACACAUGCAAGUCGAACGGAAAGGCCCUGCUCUUGUGGGGUGCUCGAGUGGCGAACGGGUGAGUAACACGUGAGUAACCUGCCCUUGUCUUUGGGAUAACUUCAGGAAACAGGGGCUAAUACCGGAUAGGAGCUCCUGCUGCACGGUGGGCGUUGGAAAGAUUCGGCGGUUGGGGAUGGAUUCGCGGCUUAUCAGCUUGUUGGUGGGGUAGUGGCUUACCAAGGUUUUGACGGGUAGCCGGCAUGGGAGGGUGACCGGCGACAAUAGGACUAAGGUAGGGACCAGACUGCAACGGGAGGCAGCGGGGGGGAAUAUUGCAGAAUAGGCGGGAGCGUGAUGCGGCGGCGCCGCGUGCGGAAUGACGGGCUUCGGGUUAUAAACCGCUUUCGCCUGAGACGAAGCGUGAGUGACGGUAAUGAGUAAAGAAGCACCGGCUAACUACGUG